This 125-nucleotide ribosomal RNA is filed under the name Dendrographa decolorans. RNAcentral's name for it is "partial small subunit ribosomal RNA". It matches the Rfam family "Eukaryotic small subunit ribosomal RNA", at positions 1657 to 1779 of the family's 1831-position model. The record is from RNAcentral. Lineage: Eukaryota; Fungi; Ascomycota; Arthoniomycetes; Arthoniales; Roccellaceae.
CCUUUGUACACACCGCCCGUCGCUACUACCGAUUGAAUGGCUUAGUGAGGUGUCCGGACUGGCUCAGGGAGGUCGGCAACGACCACCCAGAGCCGGAAAGCUCAUCAAACUUGGUCAUUUAGAGG